Molecule: ribosomal RNA, 486 nt
Filed under: uncultured bacterium
Lineage: Bacteria
Description: bacterial SSU rRNA
Rfam family: Bacterial small subunit ribosomal RNA
Source: RNAcentral
GAUGAACGCUAGCGGCAGGCCUAACACAUGCAAGUCGAGGGGCAGCACGGAUUGCUUGCAAUCUGGUGGCGACCGGCGCACGGGUGCGUAACGCGUAUACAACCUACCUUUUGGAGGGGAAUAGCCCAGAGAAAUUUGGAUUAAUACCCCAUAGUAUAUAGGAAUCUCCUGAUUUUUAUAUUUAAACAUUUAUGGCCAUUAGAUGGGUAUGCGUCCUAUUAGCUAGUUGGUGUGGUAACGGCACACCAAGGCUACGAUAGGUAGGGGUCCUGAGAGGGAGAUCCCCACACUGGUACUGAGACACGGACCAGACUCCUACGGGAGGCAGCAGUGAGGAAUAUUGGACAAUGGGCGAGAGCCUGAUCCAGCCAUGCCGCGUGCAGGAAGACUGCCCUAUGGGUCGUAAACUGCUUUUACAGAGGAAGAACCACCCCCACGUGUGGGGGUUUGACGGUACUCUGCGAAUAAGGAUCGGCUAACUCCGUG